AGGACGAACGCUGGCGGCGUGCUUAACACAUGCAAGUCGAACGGUGAACCGGGCUUCGGCCUGGGGAUCAGUGGCGAACGGGUGCGUAACACGUGGGCAACCUGCCCCAGACACAGGGAUAACCCCGGGAAACCGGGGCUAAUACCGGAUACUCCGGUCGAACCGCAUGGCUCGAUCGGGAAAGCUCCGACGGUCUGGGAUGGGCCUGCGGCCUAUCAGCUUGUUGGUGGGGUAACGGCCUACCAAGGCGACGACGGGUAGCUGGUCUGAGAGGACGACCAGCCACACUGGAACUGAGAUACGGUCCAGACUCCUACGGGAGCAGCAGUGGGAAUCUUGCACAAGUGGGCGAAAGCCUGAUGCAGCGACGCGCGUGGGGAUGAAUGCUUCGGGUUGUAAACCCGUUGGCGAGGAAGAAGCGCAAGUGACGUACUGCAGAAGAGCUCGCUAAC
RNAcentral lists this ribosomal RNA (452 nucleotides) under uncultured soil bacterium. RNAcentral's name for it is "bacterial SSU rRNA". It matches the Rfam family "Bacterial small subunit ribosomal RNA", at positions 26 to 487 of the family's 1533-position model. The record is from RNAcentral.